GACGAACGCUGGCGGCGUGCUUAACACAAGCAAGUCGAACGGAAAGGCCCUGCUUUUGUGGGGUGCUCGAGUGGCGAACGGGUGAGUAACACGUGAGUAACCUGCCCUUGACUUUGGGAUAACUUCAGGAAACUGGGGCUAAUACCGGAUAGGAGCUCCUGCUGCAUGGUGGGGGUUGGAAAGUUUCGGCGGUUGGGGAUGGACUCGCGGCUUAUCAGCUUGUUGGUGGGGUAGUGGCUUACCAAGGCUUUGACGGGUAGCCGGCCUGAGAGGGUGACCGGCCACAUUGGGACUGAGAUACGGCCCAGACUCCUACGGGAGGCAGCAGUGGGGAAUAUUGCACAAUGGGCGGAAGCCUGAUGCAGCAACGCCGCGUGCGGGAUGACGGCCUUCGGGUUGUAAACCGCUUUCGCCUGUGACGAAGCGUGAAUGACGGUAAUGGGUAAAGAAGCACCGGCUAACUACGUGCCAGCAGCCGCGGUGAUACGUAGGGUGCGAGCGUUGUCCGGAUUUAUUGGGCGUAAAGGGCUCGUAGGUGGUUGAUCGCGUCGGAAGUGUAAUCUUGGGGCUUAACCCUGAGCGUGCUUUCGAUACGGGUUGACUUGAGGAAGGUAGGGGAGAAUGGAAUUCCUGGUGGAGCGGUGGAAUGCGCAGAUAUCAGGAGGAACACCAGUGGCGAAGGCGGUUCUCUGGGCCUUUCCUGACGCUGAGGAGCGAAAGCGUGGGGAGCGAACAGGCUUAGAUACCCUGGUAGUCCACGCUGUAAACGGUGGGUACUAGGUGUGGGGUCCAUUCCACGGGUUCCGUGCCGUAGCUAACGCUUUAAGUACCCCGCCUGGGGAGUACGGCCGCAAGGCUAAAACUCAAAGGAAUUGACGGGGCCCCGCACAAGCGGCGGAGCAUGCGGAUUAAUUCGAUGCAACGCGUAGAACCUUACCUGGGUUUGACAUGGAUCGGGAGUGCUCAGAGAUGGGUGUGCCUCUUUUGGGGUCGGUUCACAGGUGGUGCAUGGCUGUCGUCAGCUCGUGUCGUGAGAUGUUGGGUUAAGUCCCGCAACGAGCGCAACCCUUGUUCACUGUUGCCAGCACGUUAUGGUGGGGACUCAGUGGAGACCGCCGGGGUCAACUCGGAGGAAGGUGGGGAUGACGUCAAGCCAUCAUGCCCCUUAUGUCCAGGGCUUCACGCAUGCUACAAUGGCUGGUACAGAGAGUGGCGAGCCUGUGAGGGUGAGCGAAUCUCGGAAAGCCGGUCUCAGUUCGGAUUGGGGUCUGCAACUCGACCUCAUGAAGUCGGAGUCGCUAGUAAUCGCAGAUCAGCAACGCUGCGGUGAAUACGUUCCCGGGGCU
Molecule: ribosomal RNA, 1346 nt
Filed under: uncultured bacterium
Lineage: Bacteria
Description: partial 16S ribosomal RNA
Rfam family: Bacterial small subunit ribosomal RNA
Source: RNAcentral